RNAcentral lists this ribosomal RNA (402 nucleotides) under Lodderomyces parapsilosis. RNAcentral's name for it is "eukaryotic LSU rRNA". It matches the Rfam family "Eukaryotic large subunit ribosomal RNA", at positions 23 to 421 of the family's 3401-position model. The record is from RNAcentral. Lineage: Eukaryota; Fungi; Ascomycota; Pichiomycetes; Serinales; Debaryomycetaceae.
ACCCGCUGAAUUUAAGCAUAUCAAUAAGCGGAGGAAAAGAAACCAACAGGGAUUGCCUCAGUAACGGCGAGUGAAGCGGCAAAAGCUCAAAUUUGAAAUCUGGCACUUUCAGUGUCCGAGUUGUAAUUUGAAGAAGGUAUCUUUGGGUCUGGCUCUUGUCUAUGUUUCUUGGAACAGAACGUCACAGAGGGUGAGAAUCCCGUGCGAUGAGAUGUCCCAGACCUAUGUAAAGUUCCUUCGAAGAGUCGAGUUGUUUGGGAAUGCAGCUCUAAGUGGGUGGUAAAUUCCAUCUAAAGCUAAAUAUUGGCGAGAGACCGAUAGCGAACAAGUACAGUGAUGGAAAGAUGAAAAGAACUUUGAAAAGAGAGUGAAAUAGGACGUGAAAUUGUUGAAAUGGAAGGG